GGAUCCGUAGCUCAGUGGAUGAGAGCACUAGCCUUCGGAGCUAGUUGUCGUGGGUUCAAAUCCCACCGGAUCCG
Molecule: transfer RNA, 74 nt
Filed under: Candidatus Thorarchaeota archaeon
Lineage: Archaea; Promethearchaeati; Candidatus Thorarchaeota
Also listed under: 1 other name
Description: tRNA-Arg
Rfam family: tRNA
About the family: Transfer RNA (tRNA) molecules are approximately 80 nucleotides in length.
Source: RNAcentral